GGAGGAAAAGAAACUAACAAGGAUUCCCCUAGUAACUGCGAGUGAAGCGGGAAAAGCUCAAAUUUAAAAUCUGGUGGUCUCUGGCCAUCCGAGUUGUAAUCUAGAGAAGUGUUACCCGCGUCGGACCGUGUAUAAGUCUNCUGGAAUGGAGCGUCAUAGAGGGUGAGAAUCCCGUCUUUGACACGGACUACCGAGGCUUUGUGGUAUGCUCUCAAAGAGUCGAGUUGUUUGGGAAUGCAGCUCAAAAUGGGUGGUAAAUUCCAUCUAAAGCUAAAUAUUGGCGAGAGACCGAUAGCGAACAAGUACCGUGAGGGAAAGAUGAAAAGAACUUUGGAAAGAGAGUUAAACAGUACGUGAAAUUGCUGAAAGGGAAACGCUUGAAGUCAGUCGCGUUGGCCGGGAAUCAGCCUUGCUUUUGCUUGGUGUACUUUCUGGUUGACGGGCCAGCAUCAGUUUUGACCGGUGGAAAAAGUUCAGGGGAAUGUGGCAUCUUCGGGUGUGUUAUAGCCCUUGUUCGUAUACAUCGGUUGGGACUGAGGAACUCAGCACGCCGCAAGGCCGGGUCUUUGACCACGUUCGUGCUUAGGAUGCUGGCAUAAUGGCUUUAAUCGACCCGUCUUGAAACACGGACCAAGGAGUCUAACAUGCCUGCGAGUGUUUGGGUGGAAAACCCGAGCGCGUAAUGAAAGUGAAAGUUGAGAUCCUUGUCAUGGGGAGCAUCGACGCCCGGACCUGACGUUUUCUGACGGCCCUGCGGUAGAGCAUGUAUGUUGGGACCCGAAAGAUGGUGAACUAUGCCUGAAUAGGGUGAAGCCAGAGGAAACUCUGGUGGAGGCUCGUAGCGAUUCUGACGUGCAAAUCGAUCGUCAAAUUUGGGUAUAGGGGCGAAAGACUAAUCGAACCAUCUAGUA
This 911-nucleotide ribosomal RNA is filed under the name Psathyrella huronensis. RNAcentral's name for it is "eukaryotic LSU rRNA". It matches the Rfam family "Eukaryotic large subunit ribosomal RNA", at positions 52 to 949 of the family's 3401-position model. Lineage: Eukaryota; Fungi; Basidiomycota; Agaricomycetes; Agaricales; Psathyrellaceae. The record is from RNAcentral.